AAGUAUGAAGCAAUAUAUUGCAAUUAGUUUCGACCUAAUCUUUAGAUAAAUUUAUCCUUACUUU
This 64-nucleotide transfer RNA is filed under the name Leucochrysa pretiosa. Its description in RNAcentral is "tRNA-Arg". The record is from RNAcentral. Lineage: Eukaryota; Metazoa; Arthropoda; Insecta; Neuroptera; Chrysopidae.